GAUGAACGCUAGCUACAGGCUUAACACAUGCAAGUCGAGGGGAAACGACAUCGAAAGCUUGCUUUUGAUGGGCGUCGACCGGCGCACGGGUGAGUAACGCGUAUCCAACCUGCCCACCACUUGGGGAUAACCUUGCGAAAGUAAGACUAAUACCCAAUGACGUCUCUAGAAGACAUCUGAAGGAGAUUAAAGAUUUAUCGGUGAUGGAUGGGGAUGCGUCUGAUUAGCUUGUUGGCGGGGUAACGGCCCACCAAGGCGACGAUCAGUAGGGGUUCUGAGAGGAAGGUCCCCCACAGUGGAACUGAGACACGGUCCAAACUCCUACGGGAGGCAGCAGUGAGGAAUAUUGGUCAAUGGACGAGAGUCUGAACCAGCCAAGUAGCGUGCAGGAUGACGGCCCUAUGGGUUGUAAACUGCUUUUAUAAGGGAAUAAAGUGAGUCUCGUGAGACUUUUUGCAUGUACCUUAUGAAUAAGGACCGGCUAAUUCCGUGCCAGCAGCCGCGGUAA
Molecule: ribosomal RNA, 508 nt
Filed under: uncultured bacterium
Lineage: Bacteria
Description: partial 16S ribosomal RNA
Rfam family: Bacterial small subunit ribosomal RNA
Source: RNAcentral